CUUGCUCUUGCUAUUGCUACUGUCUCAGCUUUUCUCCUUGGUUGCUCUCAUUAUCCCUCUGUUGCACUAUGUAAUAAAAUCCAUGGGCUUCAGGGGUUUUGUUUUUCAGAAAGGUAGGAUGCCUUGAAUUAUGUAAUUGUUUCGUCAUCGAGUUUCGGCUUAGUCUCCCUUGCCUUGCUCUUGCUAUUGCUACUGUCUCAGCUUUUCUCUCCUUGGUUGCUCUCAUUAUCCCUCUGUUGCACCAUGUAAUAAAAUCCAUGGGCUUCAUGGGUUUUGUUUUUCAGAAAGGUAGGGUGCCUUGUAUUAUGUAAAUGUUUACCCCUUCGUCA
Long non-coding RNA from Populus trichocarpa (black cottonwood), 329 nucleotides. RefSeq lists it as uncharacterized. The transcript is spliced from 2 exons. NCBI's taxonomy places the organism in Eukaryota, Viridiplantae, Streptophyta, Magnoliopsida, Malpighiales, Salicaceae. The record is from RefSeq and is a predicted model, not a curated record.